Molecule: ribosomal RNA, 427 nt
Filed under: uncultured bacterium
Lineage: Bacteria
Description: partial 16S ribosomal RNA
Rfam family: Bacterial small subunit ribosomal RNA
Source: RNAcentral
UGGGGAAUAUUGGACAAUGGGCGAAAGCCUGAUCCAGCCAUGCCGCGUGUGUGAAGAAGGUCUUCGGAUUGUAAAGCACUUUAAGUUGUGAGGAAGGGCAUUAACGUAAUAAGUUAGUGUUUUGACGUUACCGACAGAAUAAGCACCGGCUAACUCUGUGCGAGCAGCUGCGGUAAUACAGAGGGUGCAAGCGUUAAUCGGAAUUACUGGGCGUAAAGCGCGCGUAGGUGGUUUGUUAAGUUGGAUGUGAAAUCCCCGGGCUCAACCUGGGAACUGCAUUCAAAACUGACUGACUAGAGUAUGGUAGAGGGUGGUGGAAUUUCCUGUGUAGCGGUGAAAUGCGUAGAUAUAGGAAGGAACACCAGUGGCGAAGGCGACCACCUGGACUAAUACUGACACUGAGGUGCGAAAGCGUGGGGAGCAAACA